Molecule: ribosomal RNA, 253 nt
Filed under: uncultured bacterium
Lineage: Bacteria
Description: partial 16S ribosomal RNA
Rfam family: Bacterial small subunit ribosomal RNA
Source: RNAcentral
UACGUAGGGCGCAAGCGUUGUCCGGAAUUAUUGGGCGUAAAGAGCUUGUAGGCGGUUUGUCGCGUCUGCCGUGAAAUUUCGGGGCUCAACCCCGAACUUGCGGUGGGUACGGGCAGACUAGAGUGUGGUAGGGGAGACUGGAAUUCCUGGUGUAGCGGUGAAAUGCGCAGAUAUCAGGAGGAACACCGAUGGCGAAGGCAGGUCUCUGGGCAUUAACUGACGCUGAGGAGCGAAAGCAUGGGGAGCGAACAGG